UGAUUACAAGUUUGAGGUUCUUCCUUAUCCCUAGCGUUGUAAUAUCCUGAUUUACAAUUGAAAGGAUCCCUCUUACAAUGAUAAGGUAAGGGUAGACUUUGGAGAAGUAAAGGUAGUCCUUAUUCUUGUAAACACAAGGGUUUACAGUAUUAAGGACCUCUUUUACAAUGUUUUGGACCUCCAUGUUCCAUAAACUUGUAAAGUG
This 205-nucleotide long non-coding RNA is filed under the name Prunus persica (peach). Its description in RNAcentral is "long non-coding RNA (PPER_LNC003548)". Lineage: Eukaryota; Viridiplantae; Streptophyta; Magnoliopsida; Rosales; Rosaceae. The record is from RNAcentral.